RNAcentral lists this long non-coding RNA (24387 nucleotides) under Ananas comosus (pineapple). RNAcentral describes it as "long non-coding RNA (ACOM_LNC010975)". The record is from RNAcentral. Lineage: Eukaryota; Viridiplantae; Streptophyta; Magnoliopsida; Poales; Bromeliaceae.
GAUAUUGCUAGUGUAGGAAGUAAGCGAAUGAUCAUGUUAAGAGUUUGGUUAUCCUCGUAGGCUUAAUUAGUUUGGUAUUAAAAUCUAUACGUUAUUAGACUAAAUGAAGUUAGGCAAAAAUAUAUAGAAAUAUGCUUCUGCGUUUUUUGGUUGGACCGUAGAAAAUAUAUCAUAACUGACUCAUCGCGAUAUGCGAAACGUAAUAUUACAUAUGAAAACAAACAUAAUAUUUUUUUAUUGUACUUUUUCAUCACACAUAGCGCAAUCUUCUCGUAAGUCUAAACGAAACUUUAAAAGUCACCCCUGGAAUGGUGGUCAUAUAUUUGACCUAAAAGUUGGUACACUUUGUUUUUUUGACUCAAAAGGAUAAGAUCAUUGGAGGCUAUUGGUAGGGUAGGAAUAUUCAUAAUGCACCUAUAUUGUUCUUUUAAAAGCUACAAUGGAUAGCUCGAAAUACACAAGAUUCUUAAAGAAAGCCAUGUAGUCACUCCCUUUGCUUCUUUCUACCACGACCUCUCAUUUAAAGAGAAACCCUCAAAUCCUUGUUUUUCUACAGAAGUCACGAGGCUCCCACCAUACUCUGACUCUCACAUGCACCACCAAGCGUGAAUCAUAUAUAUAUAUAUAUGCACGUACACAUGAAAGGUUGUUCUAUACUUACGUACGUACACGUGCCUUGCAAAUUUUGUGACUGGUCAAAUAUAUUACUUUUCAACAUAUUCUCUCUCUUUUUCUUUAAAAAAAAAACAUAUUCUCUCUGGCCAUGUUUGAUUGGGAAACAAGGAUUGAGAAUAAGGGAUUAUUCCCCCUUGUUCUUCAAAUACUAUUUUUAAGAAUGGUGUCAGGCAGGGGUUAUUCCCCCUGCCUGACACCUCUCCUUGUCUUGAUCCAGUUCGUCGGAUCGCACAAACAACCACAAAUUUGAUGGCACCUUUUAUUGAAAGAUUUAGUGAUUUAAAGCCUCAUUUUGUUACGCUGCAUGCACUCUUGUUCUUUUAUUGCUCAAACAAAUCUACGUGAAUGAUCAAUUAAUGUUCCGAUGAAUGUUGAAUUAAUUAUCUGUAAUCUUUACGUCUACAUAUUUGUUUUACAACAAAAAGUAAUUAUUAUAGUUUUUUUUUUAAUAGAAAUUUAUGGUUCACAAGACAACAAGAACAGAAGAAGUCUAAGCCAAUUUGCACCAGCAUGAACAGAAAACUUCUAUCCUUAUAAAUACAUAAAUAAUUAAGCAAACAAAACGGAAAGGCCGAAAAAUAGCCUUAAUACCCAACUCACAAGCGCGAUGAAUAUCAGGUACUUAAACAUAGAACUUUGAAAAUAUAUGUUACCGAAAGAUUGAUUUGAUAGUAAAUGGUCCAGAGAAUAGUAUAUGUGAACGUACAAAAAAGAAGCAAAAGAAACUUAAAUAUAUGCCUUUGUCAUGUUAAAUAUUCCUUUCGAUGAUGUUGGAUUCUUUCUUCUUUUUUUUUUUUCCUAAAAAAAGGAGACGUCGUCGUUAAGAUGCGAGAGUAUACAUUAAUUGGCUUGCUUUUUUAAACUUUGUGGGAUAGAUUCUUUAGAGACGGGGUUUUUACAAGACACCACGUUGCAUGCUUCUACCUGUGCAUGGGGAAUUUUUUGAACGUUCCAUUAAUAAUUAACGCUGCGUUGAUCACAUGCUUCUUAAUUUUUAAAAUUAACCCUGUUUCUUCCUCAAUUAUAGGUCAAAAGGCGUGCUUUUUUGGUGAUUCAUCUGGUGGAUACUAUAUGUUUUUAAAAAGAUAAUUCUUACUUUUUUUUUUUGGAUAAAUUACACUUUCGGUCUUCAAACUAUGAUGUGUGUGACACGUUGGUCCUCAAACUGACUCCAAUUUUUUGAAUUGUUGCAAUCAAAUUUCACAAACUAAUUUAGUUGGUUAAAUAUUGACAAAUUAUUAAUGUAAAAGUAAUAUAGAAAUGUUAUAAUUGAUGAUGCCAUAUCAAUUUUACGUACAUCAACAACUUGUCAAUAUUUACCCAACUAAAUUAGAUAUUAUGGGACUUGAUUACAGCAGUUCAAAAAGUUUGAGUCAGAAAUUAUACCUUAUUAAAAUUUAAGAAUCAAAAUGUCACACGCCUCAUAAUUUGAGGACCAAAUUAAAGUGUAAUUCACCCCUUUUUCUUUUAUGUUCCUCAUUCAGAGAGACUCUCUCUCUCUCUCUCUCUCUCUCUCUCUCUCUCUCUCUCUCUCUCUCUAUAUAUAUAUAUAUAUAUAUAUAAUGCGACAUGAAUCUUUUGUUAUAAAAAUAAGGUCCUUUCCAUUAGUGUGCAACUAUCCCGUUACUAACUAAUAAAUAUUCGUGUUUAUCUACUCACUACUCAUUUGGGUUGUUGAGCUAGCAUAAGAAGGUCAAGCCCUAGAAAUUUGGAACCAAUUAAAAACUUUAUACUAUAGUAGCCAAUGAACAAUAGACAACAAAAACAUCAUUCAUGUGGACUAGAAUUAUAUAUAUAUUUGUUCUUUAAUGACCUUGAUUUUGGAUUUCUCAUAUAUAAAAAUUUUUGGUUACUUCAACACUAAUCACUUGAUUGGUGGUCAAAGUGUUAUUUAAUUAGUUACGGUCGUGUUUGGGCAUUUUAUAUGAUAAUAUGAUAUUGAUCACGAGAGCCUAAGACGAUAUUUUGGUUGGAAAUUAAGCUGUGUGACAACGUACGCAAUCAACAUUUGACUAGAAAAAUGAAACUAAUAGCACCCAUCAUUUUGUUUAAUUAAUCAAAGCUAAAUAUAUAUUUUGUUACCUAAGUAACUAGCUUUUAUGUAAAUUAAUAAUAGCUUUAGACCUACUUAAGCGAACUCUACUACUUUAAUUGCUAUGUAGGUGGGACUAAAUUGGAUGUUUAUACGUUGGGAAACCAAUCAAGAGUGAUUAGUAUGGUCUAUUUAAAAAAAGUCCUUCAAAUAUAUAUAUGUAUAUAAAAGAAAAUUCAUCGGUACUGUUGUAACACGUGGUCAAAUUAACCCGAUUUACUUUUAGACCGCAAUUAAUUUGGUCACAAUAAUCAAGUUUAAUUGGACCUUGUUACAAAACUUCUUUGCAACGCACCUACAAUAACACUUCUGCAUAAGCUUACUUUUGGAGAUUGACCUCCUUGAGCCCAAUAAAGCUUUUACGAAAGUAUUGUUUGAGCAAAAUUAAUUGUUCGAACCUCCAAACAUGUUUUCGUUCAAGGAUUUUCGUAGCUUCUCAACAACAUGUGAUUCAAACUAAGACUUCGUUUGAAAUUGCAGAGAGAUUGCAUUACGUACGGUGAGAAAAUACGAUAGGAAAAUAUCCUGUUUGUUUCCGUACGUAAUAUUGCGUUUCGCAUAUCACGAUGAGUGGGUUACGAUAAUUUUUCUGUGGCCCCACCGGAGAUUACAGAAGUAUAUCUCUAUAUACUUUUACAUCAACUCCAUUUUAUCUAAUAGCGUCAGAUAGACCACAAUACCAAACCAAGACUAAGGCUAGCUCGGAUUUUGAUAACUAAAAUCUUAUUUUAAUUUUCAACCAUGCACAGUUAGAAGCUCAAAUUAUUAUUAUUUUUAAUUAAAAGCUUGUUUUGUAUCUCCAUUUCACAUCGAGAAUCAUGACAAAAACUCGGAGUGUAGUACCAUAAAGAUAUAUAUGCGGACUAAGGGCCAUUUUAUUAAUGAUCAAGCUUAAGCUUUUGGGGCUAUCGUUUGGACCUAACAAGUUAUUAAUUUUGCUGCACCAAUAGAAUUAGGAUUUUAGUUGCCCAGCCCACGUAGUACAUGCAUUCGACCACACAAGACCAAGCCGGGUCGAAUCUUGGUCCGGCCCUCCAAAGAAGGCCCAAUUUGCGAAAAAAAGUCCAAGUUGAAAAUAAGAAUUCUAAAAAACUUAUUUAUUUUGUAACUAUAAGUAACUAUUUAGUAGUACUGAUCUCUGUGGCUACAUGAUGAUCAAGUAUCGAGGACCAUUUAACACUAUUAAACAACACGGAAUUAGAAAAAGGUAUGCAAACAUAUGCUUUUUCAUUUUUCAAUAAAACUAUAAAAAAUAUAUUGUAAUCGGCUCAUUACGAUAUAGAUCACAUAAUAUUACAUACCGAGUUCAUUUUACUUUGUUUUUUUUUUUUUCUGGAUUCCUCAGUUAGUUGGAGUCGGAGCUUUUAAUUUCUUUUUUUUUUUGAGAAAAUGGAGCUUUUAAUUUCUAACCGGAGCCCAAAGUGUGAAAAGAGAGAAACUCGAGUGUACGAAGAAGCAAUAAUAAUUUGGGCCUUUAUUGGGUCGGUUCGGCCCUGAGAUUUAAUUGGGCUCAUUAAUUUCAGCCUAUUUAAUUAUAGGGCCGUGGUUUGUAUCCAAGCCCAAUUUCACGGCUCGACCCGACCCACUCCGGUCCAAAGUCCCGGUUCAAGAAAACCGAAAAUAAUACCGGUUCAAGGUACAAAAGUUAGUACAUCGCUGAAGCUUGCGAGAUCGAGAAACUCUGAAUAAAGAAGGCGAGGCGAGGAAGAAGACGAAGAGGGAGAGAUCGAUCGAAAAAAAAAAAAAAAAUCCGGAAUAAAUCCCUCGCAUUUUUUUUGCUCUCCUAUUUUUUUCCAAAAAUAAGUCGAAGGAUCGGAUCCUCUCCUCUUCAAUUCUUCGCCUUCCUCACUCGUCCUCGAUCGAUCGAUCUCUUGUUCAGAAACCCUAGAGAAUGGAUAAAAUCUUCGCCAAGCUCCGGAACCUGGACGCGUACCCUAAGAUCAACGAGGAUUUCUAUAGCAGGACCCUUUCCGGGGGCAUCAUCACCAUCGUCUCGUCCGUGAUCAUGUUCAUCCUCUUCGUCUCCGAACUUAGUGAGUGAUUAAUCGCGCCGUUCUUUUGUUUCUGACUUUUUUAUGUUUCGUGUGCGUGGAUGGGUAGCUGUAGGUUGGUUCUUGGGUAUAUCUCUGUUAUUUGGUGAUUCUCUGCUUGUAUUUAUUGUAAUCGUGCAAUGUUGAUUGGUUGAAUAGGCUAAUCACUCGAGUUCUUGAUAGUGGGAACGGAAUGUUGUUUGAAUUUGUUAUGGUUAUUUAAACCUGCUCUUUAUUUGCUAUUCAAAUAUCUCUUUAGCAUGUAAGGGGGCAUAAGGUUUCAUGAUAUCUGUGGGGCACGUGCAAAUCUUUAUCGUUUUAUGCUUGAUAGUUAAUAAUGGGGUUCACAGAGUCCUCGAUCCCACGAACCUGAGCAAGAAUUAGAGAGGAGCAAAGUUAGAAGCUGUAUAAGGGCCGUACGCUUAGGCACGGGAGGUGGAGAUGUUAAUUAUGGCGGUAAAGUAUUUCCCGGCAGAGGAUGGAAAGUGACUAGAGAUAAGAGAGAUAAAACAGGAAAUAAAGUAGGUCAAAGCGUCGGAGAAGAAAUAACUAAUUUAUACUCAUAAUGGACUACUGUACAUCAUCAGUUUCAUCUCAUGAGUCCCUUUUUUUGGCAAUUUGGCACCUAACAGUUCUAAAAUAGUCUUAUAAUCUGAAUAAAUAUGUCUAUUAUCACUAGCGUUGUUAAUGUGAAUUUCUUUCUUUGUUUCUGCAGUAUUUACAUUUGAAAUUUAGAAAAAUUAUUAGUGAUUGAAGAUGAUGUUUAAUUUGAUCGAGUGGCUAAAAAUGCCGGGGACCGAGAGGUUAUUGGCUGGGUGUAAGGCAUAAGGACUAACUGUACCUUUUGAUUGAAAUGACAGAAACAUUUAUUCAUGUAUUAUAGCUUUUUUGACACUUAAAGAGUUAGGGAUUGGUGUUCAAAUAAAGGCUACGAUUUGCAACUGUUCGCUUGAAAACCAAUUGUGAUUGAUGGUUUUACUUUUGAGACUCUUUAUAUUUGAAGACAUAAGUUGAAAAAUUUUGAGAGAAGUCAAGAUGAACACAAAUAUUUUUGGCUUGAGAAUGUUAAUAUAGAAGAUAAUUUAUGUGAUUGACCUUAGGAAAGAGAUAAUUCAUUGGUGUUUAGUGUUUACGCAUGGAACCAAAGAAAUGUACCAGAGAACAAUGACCUCUUUCAGGCCUUCAAAAGCUUUUGUCCUUUCUAAGUGCUUAACCCUCAACGUCUAACUACAGCCUAUGCCCUUGUUUGGAUCAUUUAUGAGAACUCCGCAUUAAUGUUUGUUAUUUAUUUCUCUGUGGAUCUAUGCUCAUAUUUCUACAGAUGUCACAGCAUAUUUUGCUUCAUACUUCAAGCUGUCAUAUAUAUAUAUCACAUUUCAUCAUUUUUUUUGUUGCAGGAUUGUAUCUUCAUGCAGUAACAGAAACAAAGCUCGUUGUAGAUACUUCAAGAGGAGAAACACUUCGCAUUAAUGUAAGAAUGCAUCUUACCAAGGAAUUUUAUUUUAUUUUUUCUGAUGGAGACUUUUUGGUCCAAUUUUAGUUUUUCAGCUUGAUUGAAGAUCAACUUAUCUUUCAAAGCAGACAACUUCAAAGAUGUUUGAUAACUUUACAGCGAAACUUUCUUUUUAAUGUGUCAUGCAUGUUUAUUGGAUUUUUCCCCCUUGUUUUAUUACUUGACAAAUUACUUAAGUAGACUGCUCGAUUUUUAUUUUUUGUUGUCUCUUACUUAGGAACCUAUUUUGUUUCCUUUCUCUGUUUCUCUAUUACAUAUUUUCAUUCUGUUACUCGUCACUGCUCCUCGUACUUGUGUACAGAUCAUUAAUUUUCCAAUAUUGCUACAAUUGAAGCUCUUGUUUAUUAUUUACUCAUUUUGUUUCUUUCUAAAUAGUUAGUAGUAGUUUGCUUGGAAUCAUCAAGCUAUUUUUGAAUUUCUCAUUGUUAUAACUGAACUUCAUUUUGUUGCUGGUAAAGGAAAACUUUGCCAUAUGUUGCAAUCAAGCCCUAAAGUGAACAUCUGUUGGAUUCAGUGAUGGGAACUGAUGUGACAUCUCUAGAGCAAAUUGAUGUUACAUUCAAUCAGCUAUUUUUGGGAUGUUGUUGAAUUUUUUUUUUUUUCAAUCAUUUAGUAAGGACAUUCCAACCAACAUUGCAUAAUAGCCUCGUAAGAUCCUUAUCAGCUAGUGUGAGAAGAUGUCACACAUAAUUGGGAUGUAAUAUGAGCUUUCUUUUUGUUACAUAUUAGAGAAGUUCAUGAUUCGAUGAACCUUGUUACGACAAAUAAGGAAGUUUGAGCUAUUAGUUGCUGAUCAAAGAAUUAGUAGAAUUGGAAAUCCAAUUUCUUGUGCAGUUUCGAGACUUCUUUAAAAAAUUGACCAAACAUUCAUUGAUAUUUAUUGAUAUGUAUCCAUGUUGAUAUUGAAAGUCUUGUUUGAUUUAAUCUUGUCCAUGUUUCAAUAUUGGGAUUGCUGCUUGCUAAUCCCCUGCCCAUAUUUUCCAUGGAAACUGCAGUUUGAUAUAACCUUCCCAGCCCUAUCAUGUUCAAUACUCAGUCUGGAUGCAAUGGAUAUUAGCGGUGAAGAGCACCUUGAUAUAGUAUGUCUUUCAGCUAGAUCUGUUCUCUCUUCAUAAUUACAUAUCUAACCAACCAAUUUAUAUGCCAUCGAAGUGACUUUAUAUCUCACUGCAUUUUUUUUUUGUUUUUCUGUAGAAGCAUGAUAUAGUCAAGAAGCGGAUUGAUGCCCAUGGCAAUGUCAUAGAAGCUAGACAAGAUGGAAUUGGUGCACCUAAGGUAUUACAAAGCUGCCUAAAAAUGUGUUUUCCCUUAAUUUCAACUAUUUAAUUUCUUGUUAGCACCAUAUUAUUUUGCAUUGAUGCUUUGAGUGCGGAAAUUGGACACAGACAAUUUACCAAAAAAAGGACACAAUAAAAGAAGUUUCUCAAUAGAUUGAUGUUUUUAUCCUUGGAGAACUGAGAAAGCAUAUGGCCUACUUUUAUUCUUUUAUUCAUCUGUUUCUUUUACAUUCUUCAGAUAUGUCCAUAUCUUACUUACAACUUCUGACAGUACUUGUACCAACCUUCACAUUCAUCAUGCACCACACUAUUCUAAAGUCAGCUUCUUUGCAAAAGUGUGUUUUUGAGGCAAGCUUAACUUUUCAUGGUUGAAAAAAUGUAGAAAAUCUUUUCUUGCAUUAUCUAUACCUCAAACAGUUGGAGAUGGACGAAUUAGUUUCUUAGCAUUUUAGUCAAGUGGAUAGGUUCAGCAAGUAUACCAUUAAAUAUUAUUGUAUUUGGAUCACAAUCUUAGAUUGUACACCUUGCCAACAAAGCUCAAUUGGCUGUAUGGACUAUGGACAGUUUUAAAAAAAACCAUGAACUACUAAAUUGGUGGACUGAAAUUGCUACAAUAAAGAUUUACACCUGAAAUUGGAUGAGCCUAAUCGAAGGAAUGAAUCUCACUAUCUUAUGUAGGUGGAUCCUCAAGAAAUUCUUUGGCACUCUUAUAGUGUAGAGACAUAGAAGCAAAACGUUGACCCUGUUGAAUGAGCUAAGUGAAGUUUUCUACUUCAUAGAUUUACUCCCUUGUAGUUAAAUAACCUACUAUAAACUUUGAAGUUGGAUUAUCCGAUUAUAUUACCUCUUACUUGAUGUUUUAAUAUCAACAACCACAAGCAAGUUAAAUUUUGCAUGCCCUGUACUUUAGUAGCUUGUUUGAGUAGUGAAAAUUUUCUGUUGUGAAGUUUUGAAGUUUAUAUGUUAAUAUUUGCUGGAAGUUUACUUUAUACAAUGCAUGUUUUAUUAUUUUAACUCUCUGGCAGAUGGAAAAGCCUUUGCAAAAACAUGGUGGGAGGCUUGAACACAAUGAAACGUAUUGUGGUUCUUGCUAUGGUGCAGAAGUGGUAUGUAAUCCUGGUUCUAUUUUAAUAUUCAUUGUUUUAACAUCUGUUAUGCCUUUUUCAGUAGUACAAGUGGUAUCAUAUCUUGGGAUUGCUUUCUAUAUCAUCAUCUUAGGCAUUGCUUGGUAUUGAUGCUAUUCUUUUUUCACACAAAUUCUAUGCAAUGGAGUGUGGGCGGAUGGCAGAGUGCUUCCAAUAUAUACAUCUACUGGGCCUGCUGGCAAGAGAAAAAAAAUGAAAACACAAAAGUACCAUUUAUUCUCUUCCUUUGUUUAUUGAAUAUGCCUUUUGGUACCCAGCUGGGUUGCAUUGCAAGCUAACCAGUAAUGGCAAGAAUAGGGAAGUCCUCCUGUUGGCACAGCAAUCAUAUUGAACUUUUUGUUCAUAACAACAAAAAAAAAGGCAACAAUACAAAACAACGCAUGGCUCUAUGACUGUGCAACUUGGAAACAACACUUAGCUAUUCUUGACAAUAAAUUUCAGUACAGGGAGUAUUGGUGUGAUUCUUGUGGAAGUUGCUUGAGACGUAGUUGGCUAAAAAGCUGAUUGGAAAGUUAAGUACAAUAAUGGACAACGGGUAAUGAAUGCCUUUAUGUAUGCAACCCAAAUGAGCAAUGGAUGUCUUUUAGUAUGCACCCAAAACUUGUAACUAUGUGCAUAUCUCAUAAUAUUUGAUAAUUUUGAAAUCUUUAGUAGUUCAAUCCUAUUUUUGGUUUCUUUUGUGAGGGAAUAGUGAAAACAUUCAUCGCUAACCUCCCAUCCUCGUGCUUAUCUUCUCACUGUUCUAAAAUGCUGUCACCCGCAUAGGUGAAUGUCAUUGCUUGAUCGCUUCAAUAGUCCGCUUGUAUUUGUGGUGUACACACCUCAUAAUGGGUGCAUGAGCACCUUACCUCCUACCUCGCAUUAGAAGAAAUAUAAGGUUUAGCAUGGCAUGAUAUAUAGAAUGUUUAAUAAGUCAUCCAAAGUUCUAUAUUUUUCUUAUUCAUUUGAUUCAUCUGUGCCUUUCUUUUAUGUAUAAUAUUUUGUUACUGUAAUAUAUUAUUGUAUGUAAUUAUAUUUUGCAAAAUUCUUAUCUCAGUUAAUAUUAUUUGCUAUGACAGACUCUGAUCAGAUUUUCUUUAUAUAUAUAUAUAUAUAUAUAUAUAUAUAUAUAUAUAUAUAUAUAUAUAUAUUUUAGCUCCUUCAUUACUUUCACAAAAUGUUUCCUGGUUUAUUAUUGCUACUGUUGAAUCUAUAUAUCUUCUUAAUUUUGUUCCUCAUAUGCCAUGAACAUGCAAAUUGAUUUGCUUGUAGUCCGACGACGAUUGUUGCAACUCUUGUGAAGAAGUUCGUGAAGCAUAUAGAAAGAAAGGAUGGGGCCUCUCAAACCCGGAUCUGAUUGACCAGGUGUGACCAUAUAGAUGACAUGAUUUAUUUUUGCUUUUUAAGUGCCUUGCUUUAUAACUCUAUGAGUUUAUCCUCUCUGUAAUUAAAUGUUUUAUGAAAAUAUUCAAUUUUUCACGGGAAAGUUUAUGUUUAAUAAGUUUGCCUAGGUUUCUGAUAGUUACAAUGGCUUGAAAGUCACUGGAGUUCUUGUUGUAAUGUAUGAAUGUUCUGUCACUCAAACUGGUUCUUUCAGUUUGCACAAAGAUGUCAGUGUUGGCUAAAGUUGGGCCCACAUUAUGCCAUUAUCUUAAAGGCUUACUACCUUGUCUUGUAUUACAAUUUUCUCUAUGCAACUGCCUACGCCUGAGUUUCAUAUCCUAUUGGUUACUACUACAAACUGUAAUUACAUGACCAUCUAAUUGCAAGGUUUUUGUCUAUCAAAUCUUGAGCUAGUAUAUUUAAGAAAUUUAAUAAUUUUUACUCUCGACUCUGGUGUUGUAUAAUAGUGCAAAAGGGAGGGUUUCCUACAAAGAAUAAAGGAUGAGGAAGGCGAAGGAUGCAACAUCUACGGCUUUCUAGAAGUUAAUAAGGUUGCUGGGAAUUUUCAUUUUGCCCCAGGCAAAAGCUUUCAUCAGUCAAAUAUGCAUGUUCAUGACUUGCUUCCGUUCCAGAAGGAUAGCUUUAAUGUAAGCAAGUUUGGACGGAGUUGUGGCAGUGUACAUAAUUUCAUCGUUCACAGAUCAUUCUUAGCAUGCUUUGACAUAUUCAAUUUUCAUUUAUGAUGUUGCCAGAUUAGCCACCGAAUAAAUAGAUUAGCUUUUGGAGAAUAUUUUCCUGGUGCUAUCAAUCCUCUUGAUGGGUAACUUUGUAUUCCUUCUAUCUUCCUAUUUAUUUGCUAGUUACCUGUAUGCUCUUAAAUAGCUUUUAAUAUCAUAAAGAUAUUAGUGACUAUACACCUGAUUAUUGAAAUAUUUAGAGUGCAAUGGGUGCAACAAACACCAUAUGGGAUGUACCAAUAUUUCAUCAAGGUUAGCCGCCUCAUUUUCCUUCUUUUACUUAGUAGAAGUUAAAGUUAAGAUAUACAUGUGCUUGCUAAGCAGUCUCUUCCUGCAUAUGCCACUUCUUUCUUCUGCUGUCCUUGCAGAAUUAUGUAGUUGCCGAUGACUCUUGGAAGUUUUCAAAUCUUUCUCCUUGUCUUUUCCAGGUUGUUCCCACUGUCUACACUGACAUUAGUGGGCGUACUAUCCAGUCCAAUCAGGUAUAAAUAAGUAUUCCAUGGUAACUUCUGAUUCUGCAUUUACUUGAUUUCAUCAUCUUGUUAGAACUUUUUCAUUCAAACAUGCAGUUUUCUGUAACCGAGCAUUACAGGGGUGAUGACAACGGUCGCAUCCAAGCCCUUCCUGGUGUUUUCUUCUUCUAUGACCUUUCGCCGAUAAAGGUAAUGUUUUCAUAAGUAAAGCACCGUUACUGUUAGCAGAUUUUUGCCUGGAAAAUGAAAAUAUUUUCAUUACUUUUGUUUUUAUUCGGAUCUUUUCUUCCUCCAUUCACAAUAUAACAAGUCGCAACCAUCCUUUAGUGUGCAAUGUAAAUGCAGCCUGAUCGAUUCUUAUACUGUUUUUUGAUAUUGAUGUGAUAAGCGUAGAAAAGUUUGGGGAUACCUUUAUUGUUUCUUAGUCAUUGUAAUUUAUAUCUUAUUGCAAUACAUGGGUUUUGCAUCUAUUACAUGUUUUUUUUGUCUUACAAGUUACUAAAAAGACAGUUUAGUUCAAGCAGACCCAUCUAAUUCCUACACUAUUAUUACCCUGAUGCAUUUUUGCAGGUUACCUUCAUGGAGCAACAUGUCUCUUUCUUGCACUUCUUGACUAAUGUUUGUGCUAUUGUUGGAGGUACACUUUAUUUCACUUAUAUGACUAUUAUAAUCAUUUUACUUCUGGUGUGCUGCGUAAACUUUACGGUUAACAUAAUUUUUACAAAAUCAGCUUUGUCCUUCCAUAUUAGUUCAUUCGUAACAUCUGUUUCUGAUUAAUUGAGAUUUGAGAAUAUUGAUGAGUGUCUCCAGAACAUGAAAUUGAUUACACCUGUUAUCAAUUUAGUAUACAAAUAAUCUUUUUGAAGGAACAUCGGACUUUAUUCUAUUAAUCGUGUCCCAAUUAUAAUGCUUAAUAAGUUAUUUUGAAAGGAAAUACUAGAGUUGUCUGACAAGCAAUAUUGUUACUUAUCCUCUUUAAGAAAUGAAAAUGAAUAAUGUAUUGUUUUCAUCCCAUACUUUGUUUGACUUCACAACCAGCAAAUGACCUUCAAAUGGAUUCUUAUAUUCAGAAUAUUCUCCAAUUUGGAAAGUCGUUGCACUUUACUAUUUUUACUCAAGUUGUCCUCUUUACUUUAACCUACCUAAAUAUUCCACAACUGGCAUGUCCUCUAGAACAGAUAACUUGUGAAAGCAUUGAAAGGGGCUCUAAGAUCUAAUACUUGAAUCACUUUUAAGGGCCUAAUAUUCCAUACUAUCUGUUUUACGGGUCAUACUAUUCUUGCUCAUUGACAUUGCAAAAGGUAUAUUUUGACUAAUGCCAGUUAUAGAGCAAUGAAAUAGCAUUUCAAGCAUAUGUGGCAUACCUGCACUAAAUAGAGUCGUUGGUUGGUAUCAGGGUAUGUGAGUGUGUCCUAUUGGCAUCCUCCAAAAACAACAAUAACAGCAAGCACAAAAAAAAAAGAGGGUUCCUUAACUUUCAGAUGUCCAUCCUUCUGUAAAGUCAAGUUGUCGGAAUUUCCAGUUCUUGGGCUAUACAAACUUAUCAGGAUUGGUUUGAUGACCGACUCUAAUGUUGAUUUCUUUACCUCACCAGGUAUAUUUACUGUUUCUGGGAUAUUUGAUUCAUUUGUAUAUCAUAGCCAGAGAGCAAUCAAGAAGAAGAUGGAGAUCGGUAAAUUCAGCUGAUUGUCAAACUUGGUAACUUUUUUGUUCUUGAAAGUUAAACCACCUUUCUCGUGGGUGCUCGACCUAUCUGGUGCGACUUGAAUAUCCAAAAGUGACGUCGAGUCAGUUGGUGGGAUCGGGUUGGGUUUUGCUCUUUGUUAUAUUAUUUCGCGGCCCUGCAUCCUACAUGGAUGAAUGUCAUGUGGAUCACAAAUUCAAUCAUUUUAUAGCUGUUGUCUGUGUAAUUUAAAUUCAACAGGGGGAUAUUUGCUGUUGGAAGAGCAUUUGUGGGUGAUUAUACAUAUAGUAACAUUGAUGCAAGAUCACAGAGAACAAUGUGGAUGUUGGUAUUCGACAAGUCGGAACUUGAGUUGGUUGAAAGAUCUGUAUUGUUUUGUUAUCUUAAUUCCAGUUCCUAGAUGCAGAAGGUUAUCGAGUCUUGUACUAUUAUGUGAAUCACACAUAAGUGUUUAAAGUUUUAUUUGAGUGUUAAAUCUCUGAAAUUUCAAGAAAUGUUUUUGUUGUCUUUAAAUAUCAUGCAGUGAUUAGAUUCCAAUGAGGGCUACUCUGUUUUUCUUUUAUUUACUGUUUGCUUAUAUAACUGUUGGGAUAGAGAUUCAUGCUUCAACACAGGUGAUUAAUUAGAAUCUAACCAACUUCUAUGCAGAUAUAUGCAUGUCACAACAAUUUGCUAGAGCAAUGUACUAGCUCAAGCAGUAAAUGUGUUGGGGAUAUUUGUAUAUUUGACUUUAUUAUUCAACAGGUCUUGUGUACUAAGCCAAAAGUCUGUACCAUUCCAAAAGCAAUUCAUGCACUCAAAAACUUGCUUGUUAUCUGGGCUAAACUUCUGUUUAAUUAAAUUUCCGAUAUCUGAACUAAUGCAGUUUCUUUGAUGAAGUGGCUUUCCUCGUGUGUUUCUCCAUGCCUGUGAUAUUCUUUUUUGGUACCAAUUAGAUGAAAUUUGCUGUAUCAAUGCUUUAGCUCAUUCAAUUAUAUGCUUAGGAUUUGUUUCAGAGGAUCGUGUAAUCACAUAAUAUAGCACGCCUGAUCGGUUUCUAAUGAUGGUUAGUAUUAGCUUCUUAUGUAGAUGAGACUCGCUUUGUCAUUCUAUUUUUUUAAUCACGUAUACAUAUAUACUACCCUACUUUAAAUGCUUCUACUGUUUUGAUCUCUUACGCAGCCCAAGGAGAUAUUUCCAACUGGUAGGUAUUGCAUCUCGUCAGAUAAGAAUUCUCAAACACGUCAAUUUUAUUGAGAAAUUACUGUUUUUAACAGUGAACUCUACUGUUCUGGUUUCUUCUCUUACAGUUAAAUUUAUCUAUUUGGAUUUCAUUUUUUGGUCGGAUGUGCUUUAUAUUCUUAGGCUUUAACCUUUUACAAAGUAGCUACCAUCAUGCCCAUAACAGCAUAUAUAGAACAUUUUGGCUUUUAUGUCAUUCGAAAUUCUCCUGCGAUGUUCCUUGGCGUUCGUUAUCAUAAAAUUCCAACUAUGAAAUGGCGAAUCCUAUCACGCAAUUGUUCAGAAUCUGUCAGCGUUCUCAAAUUUCCACAUCAGCGGAGGACAGAGCCAAAAGGACAAUAGCGAAGUGCCUCAGGUAAUUUUUUAUAUUCAUGUUUCGUAACCUCGAUUUAUUUGUGGGAAUUAGAAAAUAUGGCAAAGUUCUUAGUACACAUUUUUCAGUUUAUUUCUUGUACAAAGCCUCAAUUUGGGCAGCUUUUUCUACGUUAUCGAGCCGCUUGCAUCUCGCCGCUUUCACAUGCUUGGUGGGUUACUUGUUAGUUAAAAGAAUUAUGGUGAGAAGGGAAAGAAAACAAGAGAAUGUGCAGUAUGUUUUAGUUAAUAAUGCUGAAACAAAAGACAAAGCAAAGAUCACUGGAACAAAAUAUCAUAGAGCCAUAGAGGUGGGGUUAACCAUUCCCUGUGCUCCUUGCUAUGCUUGUUCUAAAGGUAGAUCGUGUUCUGUUGUCUUCACGCUGUACAGUUUUUAUUUUGCUCGACUUCUAACCUAUCUCAAUAACCUUACAUGCUGUUCUGUCGUGUUUGGCUUUUAUAACCUUGUUUCUCAUCUGAAAUUGUCAUGUCAUAUGACUAUUGAGGAGCGUUUAGAUGCAAAUUUUCCAACUAAUACUUGUAAUUUUAGUUUUAAAUGAGAAUCCGUGCAAUUUCUACACAAUUAUUGUUCUACGAGAAGAAUAUAUGCAAUUAUUGAAUAUUGGUCCUCCUCGGAGAAAAGGAGAGGAGGAAAUUUGCGAAAGGGACGAGCGCAGAGGCAACAAAAUGGAAAGGAAGAAAAACGAAGUGUGUACGCAUUAAGUGAUACAACAAUUUCCUUUUGCCAUGUUUGUGUAGAGAUAGAUAUUUUGAUGCGCGUGGCCAUCGGAGAUUGAUUAUUACGUUGAUGAAUACUACUAUUCUACAGGUAUAUUUUGUCAAUGUGAAAAGCAUCCGAUGCGGGUUAACUUUUCCCCCCACUUUCGUUCUCAAUUGGAAUGAUUCAAAUCUCGCUGAGAUAUCUUUCAGAUUCACCACCAAUUGAAGGUAAUCUCAUCGCAGGUAGAAUUUUUCUUUUUUUUUGCCGAGCCACUGUGGGUUCGCAUCUUUUAUCUUUGUAUAACAUAUCACAAGUUGCCCAAGGGCUUUUUCUGUGAAAUAGAAAGGAAAAAAAAAAAAAUUAUUCAUCUCAGGUUAGUGGAAUAUGUAUUUAUUGUUGUGCUAAAAAAUUGAAUGAUAUAUAGAAAGAAAAGGAGUUUAAAAUAUCGUAUUUUGGUUGCUUACGGUUUUAGAGAAAAUUGGUUGUUUUACAUUUAAUGAGAAUAGGAAGUUUUGAGUUCAAAUUUUAAUUGGGGCCUCUAGUCUCAUUCAGACUCUGUCCAACUUAUUUUGAAAAUCCAGGUGUUGCAGACAAAAUCGCCCUCAUGCAUGGGGCAAUGUUGACUAAUGUAGAUAGCUACUUCCAAAUCGUGUUUUAGUAGUGUUUUAAGUCGUUAAAGAAAAAAGAAAAAAAAAAAAAAGGAAAGAAAAAAAAAAAGGGUUAGGUCCAUGAAGGAUAAAUUGCAUUGCCACUAACUUGGUAGGUGUAGUCAAGUUUCGUUUUGGUCAUUGGAAUUCAAAGUUUGUCCCUUUGAUGCGUCUCGUAGUGUUAAGAAAAAAAAAGGGAAAAGAAAAAAAGAAAAAUUGCAACAGACACACAGUGGUUUCAACUUGAUUCCUGCUGGACCAAGCAAUCCUUUUGAAAAGGAUAAAAAGUGAUAUUUUAUAGUGGGUGGAGAGAGAGAGAGAGAGAGAGAUAAGCAGAGGAAGAAUAAGAACAAAGAGAUGAGCCCUAGGGGGAGUAGGUUUGGGAACUUGUGGUGGAGGGUGUUGGCUUAAAUGCGCCAGCAUCCUGUCCUGUGCCGGAAGGUCAUGUGGGCCGAGUCAUGUUCGAAAUGGCGUGAGGCUGGGUUGGGCCGAGUCAUGUUCGAAAUGGCGUAAGGCCAGGUGGGCCGAGUCACAAUCGAGACCCAUGGGCGCUGUUUCUGUACGCUUUAAGUGAAUUGGUUGCGUAUUUCUAACAGCUCGAGCUUUUGGGAUUAAUGGUUAGCGCUAACAAUCCGACAAGUGGUAUCAGAGCCAGAGAUCACGGAUUCGAUUCCUGCAUGCUGCAAAUGUGUUCAGGUGCUGGAGGAGGAUUGUUGGCUUAAAUGGGCCAGCAUCCUGCCCUGUGGCGGGAGGCCAUGUGGGCCGAGUCAUGUUCGGAAUGACAUGAGGCUGGGUUGAGCCGAGUCAUGUUCGAAGUGGCGUGAGGUUAGGUGGGCCGAAUCACAAUCAAGAUUCAUGGGCGCUGUUUUUGUACGCUUUAAAUAACUUAAUUACGUAUUUUUAAUAGCUCGAAUUUUUGGGUUUAAUGAUUAGCGCCAGCGAUCCGACGGAGGGCAUAUCUCCAUGCCUCUCCCCUUUGCCCCUUAUCUCUGGCAAAAGGGUAUGGGGCAAUAAUAAAGAAAUGCAUAUAUGAUGAUGAAGAGGGGAUGUGUUAUGACUGAUUCCACAUGACAAUGGAAGUCCUUUUCAACAGCAUAAAAGCAAAAGGUCUUCCAGAGGCUUCUUCCCCAUCUCCCAUCCCUCCCAUCCCUCCCUCAUCUUUUUUGGUCAAGUUUAGCCCCUAUUUUAUGCUAUUAUUAUGUGAAGGGAAGGAAACAACUAGCUGUUGCUGAAACAGUCCCUUUUUGAGUAAAUCUUAAGCUUUGCUUGCCGCUCAAAACUUUUCCUUUUGUUACAUGUGUUGCUCAGCAUCAUUCAAGCAAUGGCUAGGAUUUUUGGUAUACUAAAAUGGGCAUAACUAUCUCAUUUAUAUGUGGUUAGAGAAGGUGGAUGAGGAAAUUCACGAUUCUUGUUCUUAUUGGCUGAACACCAAAAAAAAUAUCUCCUUCGAAAAAUAAUAAUAAUAAUAAUAAUAAUAAUAAUAAUGAAGAAAAGAAUUGUUAAGAUUUUAUUUCUUAUUGCCAAACAAAACAAAACAAAUCAAGGGCAUAAAAAGCUUAUUUCUCGAAGGAGAUAUUUUGCUUGAGAAAAUAAAAAGACAACACUAGUACUAAAUGAGACUCAAAAUCUUAUUAAAUUUGAGCAAACCUUUGUUUGGACAAAUGUUAACGAAUCUUAAACCCUACGCCCUGAACUGUUUGAAUAAAGAUUAAUGAUCCAUUUAGUGAAAUAUCUGUAACAUAGUGACAAUAUUUCUUUGUAAAGAAGCUAAAGGGCAAAAAAAACAUCGGUCAAAAAGCACUCAUCUUCUUGUAUACUAUGACUCUCUGUUUUUUGUUCUUCUUUUUUUGCAACACCUGAUUAUAAGGUAUGCAUUUAACUUAACAACAAUUCCAUCAAAUAUUUGAUCAUUUCAAACCCCAAAAAAGAAAUUAGCACUAAUCAUAAAGAGCUAAUGUGCAUCUCAAUCUUUGUGUUUCUUGUGCCUCUACACCAUCCAAUCUCUUCGCGAUCGAGUUCAUCAUACUCAAAACCAUGCAUACAUAAACACCAUAAAAGUACUUAAAAGCAAUAUAAUAAUUACACAGCUACACAACAAUUACAACUACACAAUAGAUUUAAAACAUCUCCUUACUCGCUGGUGAUGCUGAGGCAAAAACAUCCAGCAAAAACCAGGAGGAGGUGACCCCAAUAUAAUAAUUAAUUACAUACCAAGCCCACUAUUAAGAAAGGGGGGAAAAAAAAAAAAAAAACCUAAAAGAGGACUCUGAUUCUUCUUCUUCGACCUAAAAGAGCUCUCCGCAAACGUCUAAAACCCCAUUUGCAGAAGAAGCCCAUAACCACUAAUUAAGAACUACACCAUACUACUACACCAAAUACAAUUAUAUUCCCACAAGACGAAGAAAAAAAAAAGAAAAAAAAUAUACUAAUUUUGGGAUAAAAUGGAGUCCCAGUCGAUCUCGUAGGAGGGAUACUUGCGGAGGAAGAAGCUCUCGGACUCGUCCCAUGGCGCCUCGGUGAAGUCCAAGGUCUCCAUCUCCGACACCGGCGACGACGAGUCCUCGGCCUCCCCGUCCGACGACGACGAGCUCUCCUCCGCCGCCGCCGAGGCCGGGGCGGAGGAGCUCGGCGGAGCUGCUGCGGCGGCGGCUGCGCUCCGGCCGGUCUUGGGGGCGGGGGCGGAGGAGGAGGUGGAGGCGAGGGUUUGGCAAAUGGCCUGGAGCUUGGCGUCGACGGAGGCGAGGAGCGGGGCGGGGGAGGAGGAGGGGAGGUGGCGGUGGCGGAGGUCGGGGAAGUUGAGGCGGGCGAAGUCGCCGCGGAGGCGGAACGCGGCCUUGUCGUAGGCGAGCGCGGCCUCCUCGGCGGUGUCGAAGGUGCCGAGCCAGAGCCGCGUCCGGUUCUUCGGGAGCCGGAUCUCCGCCACCCACUUCCCCCAGUGCCGCUGCCGCACCCCGCGGUACAGCUUCGUCGCCUUCCCCCCCGGCGCCGCCGCCGCCGCGGCAGCCCCGUGCUUCAUGGACUGCGCCCGCGGGCCGAGGUAGCCAGGGCCUCGCGGGGCGAGGAGCCGCUGCUGCUGCGGCUGCUGCUGCUGCCGCUGCCGCUGCUCGAACUGGAUCUGCGCCUGGAUCUGCUCGACCUGGGCCGGGCUCAGCUGGUUGAGCCCCACCGGGCCCACGUACGCCCCCGCUCCGUACUCAAAAAUCGGAUUUUGAUGCGAGAACGGAGACGACGACGACGACGAAGAGGGAGAUGGGGAGUAGAAGAGGGGCGAGCUCACCGGGGGGAAAGGGUAGGGGGAGGAGAGAGGAGGCGGAGGAGAGGGGGUGGAGGAGGUGAGCUCACCAUAGGUGAGAGGAGAAGGAGAGGGAGAAGGUGAAGGUGAGUAAGGAGAGGAGGAGGAGGAGGAGGAGGAGAUAGUGGAAGCGCCAUUAAUAAAAGGCUCGAGCGCUUUCAUGAGCUCCUCACUGAAAGGGUCUGAGUAUGUUACACCCCAACUAUUGCACAUAUCUAUAGCCGCAGCCAUGUAUACAAAAUACAAUAUAAAUAUAUAUAUCUAAAUAAAGCUAAAAUAGAUGGAGGAAAUAAAGAUAAAAAUGAGAUUUUUUUUUUCUUUUCUAAAAACAGGGGAAUCGAAAUGGAAGAAGCAACAACGCACCUGGUUCUUAACAAAAUCAAAGAAACCGGGGAGUUGGUAACUGCGUUUUUUCAAAGAUCAACAAGAAGGAAAAAAGAUAACUAAAGAUUCAACCUUGAGGGUGGAGAAAAUGGCCCUCUUGGUUUGAUCAACAACAACAACAAAAAAGGAAAAAAAAAUCCAAAAAUCCAGAAAUAAAAAAGGCUCUGGAUCUCUGAUCUGAAAUCUCUGGCUCCUAACAAAAUUCCCAGACAAACAAACAAAAAAGAAAUCCCUUUUCUCAGCUCAACGAAACUCAAAAAAAGGACCCAAGAUGAGAUUUUUUUUCUUUUCUUUUCUUUUCUUAACCUUGAGGAGUACAAAGAUUACAGAGGAGGGAUUCACAGAGCGUAGAGAACAAACCUUUGCUGCUUCGAUCGAAGGGGGGAACACUCAAGCCUCACCGAGGUGGAUGGGUUAAGGCUAAAGCUUUUUGUUUUUUUUUUUUUUUCUUUUGAUUUAAUUUUUUAUGUAGGUGGCGGGGGUGGAGGUGACUCUCUUGAGGGGAAGCACAGGUGUAAUGAAGGGGUUUAUAUAAGCCUCUAAGCGCCUCUUUAAUCUCGUGAAGAGCUCAUUACCCUUAUCAUCAUCCUUAAUUAGUUUUAGUUUUAUUAAUUAAACCAUGCAACGCUCCUCCCACAGCGAACCAAACGCUACGGGAAACCAGUGACGGGAACCAAUGGGGGCUCGCCACGUGUGGAUCCAAACCGGCAGGUGUCGGGAUAGUUACCGGCGCGUGUCCUUGUGAACCACGUGGAGUAAUAUUAUUGGCGGAGAAGUGUACUGUGUUGGUAUUGUUGCACGGGAUUUUCCGCUCACGAAAAAUAGGAUAAUUGGACUUUAGUUGAUACUAUCAUCGCUGGUAGGGGUAAAUUUGUAAUUUCGGGAUCGAUUUGAGCUGCGUCGCCGAACAGCGCUGGGUCCGGCUCGGCUUAGAUUCGGCUCGACUUUGUUUAUUUGGUCAUUUUUUCCAAAUGUAUUUAUAUUCACUUUUUGUUUUGAGAACAUAUAUUCUUAACCAAAUUAAUAUAAAUGUGUAUGAAAUAUUGUAAAUUUUUCAUAUCUAAAGCAUCUAUAUUCUUAGAAAUAUUCACACUAUCUCUAGUCCACUAGUCUUCAAUCCGGUGUGAAAUAACUAGGGCAUCAUAAACUUUCAGGCUCGAUCCAGUAGACUCUCAGCAGAUAUGUGACUAUUCAAACAUUACAAACUCAUGGACUCUUCUCCUUAAAAUACUUAAUUUAGAUCCUUAUACACUCAUCCCAUUUGAUCAUGGAUAAAUAGAGCGUUGUGGACUCUCUCCAUUUUAGAACUAACGUUCUCAUCAGGUUUAAUUCUCUAACCAACUCUCUACCGACUAUAAUAAUCCAACUCACUAAUACUAAUAAUUUAUUAGAUUCAAACUGUUAGACCAAAAUAUUUAAGCUUAAUUAUUAUUAUCGAAGUUUUUGAUCUGUCUUUUUUUUUUUUUCUUAUUUUGACUCUUGUGCUCGUACGCUUCCACGAAAGGAGUUUGGUGUGGAAGUCCCUGGCCAGAUAUAAUAAAAGGUUUCAAAGUGUCCUGCUCGAGAUACUGAUACAUGAGGACUAAGUGUAAAGUUUGAUUUUAGGGCAUUGGUAGUCCUAAAAUUUUUGCAUACUUUGGUGAUCUCGUCAUUCAUCAGCAGAUGAAUGAUAACUUGGAUUCAGUCACUAAUUGUUUAUUUCAUUUAUGCUGUGAUUUGAGAUUCUCUAUUGAUAUCAUUUUAUAUCCUGAUUUGCGUUUGUUUUCUCAGUAUGGCGAGAAUGGUUGAAAAUUUUAAUUUACUUUAUGCGUUCUUCUUCUGAGCCAAUUAAACUGGUAAUUUACUGUUUGUUGCAAGUAUGAAAGGAUUAAGUAUUAUUUUAUAGGCUUUGCGUGCCAGGUUAUCUGAUACAUAUGACAAUAAUUAUAUGAUACAAAACCAUAACACGUUGCAUUAAACUCAAUUAUUUCAGUUUUACAAAAUAUAAUUCAAAAUGUUCUCUUUAAUCAUUAUAUAUCUCCGGUUGAAAACAGUGGGACUCCGUUUUCAUAUAUAAAAAGCUUGAUAAAUUCAUAAGUCACUAGCACAUCAGGCCUAACCGGAGCUGGACUAUAUUUGUAAAUUUCAAGCUAAUUAUAAAAAUACUCAAUCUACAUAGUUAAUAUGUAAGUGUUAUAGUAUAUAUUCGUGUGCCAUACAGUAGUUAUAUAGCGAUCACAAAAUUUGUUUUUGCUAACAUACCAUAUCAUAAAAUAUUUAUUUAUUUUAACAUUAAUAUAUAUAUUCUAAUUACUUCUUACGUAUUUUAUCAAAUUUUUACACUUUAUUAAAAAUUGAACCAUACCGUCGGCAUGAAAAUUAUAUGGUGUAAAUAUUUUACAGAUAAAAGGGAAUCUUUUUUAUCAAUAAUAAUUUGAUUAAUUUGCGAAUAAUAAUAAGUCCAUAAAGUUUCAAUUGUGUAGUACUAGCACGGAAUGAUGAGGUGGGGAUGGAUCUUUAUGCUUUUGUUUCAGCAUUGUAGGACCUUUUAUAUAUAGCACCUAAUAAAAGAUCCCCACACAGUACUAAUCAUGUGAUGUGUACGUGGACGUUCAAUUUCUUUUGUUGAAACGAAAAAUUAUUACAUCGUUGUAAACGAAAAUUCAGAGUUUCACAGUUUCUAUGGACAUGGCAAGGCCACGAAGAACAAGAUCGACUUUUGUGCGCAGGAGCCACUCAUUUACAAAAAGCAAAGUUGGAAAAUGGAACUAUUCCCGAGUUGCGCAAUCUUUUUCAUUUUGUCACAUGAUUAACAUGCAAAAUUGAAAUAAAACUAGUGAUCUGGAUUAAUUAGUUUAUAUCGUAGAAAAAGAAUUAAGCCUAUUGAGAAGGUGAGUCAUCUACAGCUAGAUAUUGGAUUGUGAUGUUUCAUCUUUUUGAAUUUUUAAUUUUAGUAGUCGAUCACUGUUAAAUCAUCUUGCUAUAUAAUUUUUAAUUGUUCAUACUUGAAAAUAAAACAAAUAUUCUGGGCAAAAGUUAUAUACGAAGCAUUCUUAUAACGCGCGGAUUUAAUUCACCAUUUAAUUUGAUUUAAGAUUCAAGCACUAUACGUGAUGAAAAAUAGAUUAUAGUUUGAUCAUGCAAGGCUCCGCUUGUAACAAUAUUUGUUCUUGUAAACUAUGGAAAGUUAUAUAUUUUUUCUAAAUAAAAUCGAAUGGAUAUGGCAUAUAUUGAAAUUUUCCAUUCAUUCACUCAAUUGGCCCAAUUUCUUUCAUAAUUUAAGAUUAAGCUCAGCAUUCAUGGAGACCCCCUCAAAAAUGGGUUAUUUUUUUAUUUAAAAUGUAGCUAUUAUUUUGAAAUAUACCUCCAUAGCUUCUACUUUAUUUAUUUAAUUUUAGUGACAGAAUUUAAAUAUUUUAUCAACCUUUUUUUUUUUAAUCAAACGGUCAGCAUAUUUGAUAGAAUUGUAUAGCUUUUAGAACAAAAAUGAUUUAAUUUAUUUUAAAAAAAAAGUUUGGCCCCCUUAAAAAAUAUCAAAAGAGGGCCAUUUUCCAAAUUGCACAUAGGGUUAGGGAUUCUCCACACAUUUUCACCUACUCAGCACGAGCAGUGCUAUACGAUACACCCCUAAAGAUGACGUAAAUUUUGCACUUUUUAAUCCAAAAGCAAAAAAUAAAUCUUAUCUUAUUAAUUUAUUUUAAAAAAUUUAAGAUAAUUUUUUAAAAUUUAAAAUUUAUAGAUGUAAGAUGUAUAUAUAUAUAUAUAGAGAGAGAGAGAGAGAGAGGAGAGAGAGAGAGAGAGUCUAGCUGCUAUACUAUCAGUAGCACGGAUGCUUUCUUGCUACCAAAUUGUUUUCAAUGAUGCGGCUUCCAAAUCGACGAUCGGCUCCGUUAGACUUGAUCUAUACUAUUGAAAGUAUUUAGAAACUGAAUUUCAGAAUUUUUCGACAAUAUUUGGCUAGUGAUCAAAAGGUCUCAAAAUUGAUAAUUUUAAUGGUAGAUGUGAUGCAUUUGUAAAUUUAACGGUGUAAAACAAUCCAAAUCAGAUGAAAUUUUUAUAGAAAAUUAAUUUUACUAUUUAAAAUAAGAUUAGUAUCUCCGAUCUUAAAUUUAAGUCUUCUAUCAUCAUUUUUUAUGAGAUUUUUAUUUUCAACCGUUCAUUUUAGACUACUCGUUUGAUAGGUAAAUGAUACCGAAAAAUUAUGAAAUUUAGUUUCCAAAUACUUUCAAUAGUGUAGAUCAAGUCUAACGAAACCGAUUGUCGAUUUGGAAGCGGCAUCAUUGAAAACAACUUGAUAGCAUGGAGGUGUCCGUGCUACCAAUAAUAUAGCAGCCUAGCUAUAUAUAUAUAGAGUUCGGCUAUGUUGCUUGUAAAAGUACCAACUACUUGGUACUUGUAAGUUUUUUACCCUUAGAUCUACGUCUUUGAUCAUUUUCAACCGUUAGAUUAUACAAUUCAACCAACUGCCCACUCAACCCUAGAGGGCCACAUCAUCCUCACUGUACAUCCCUUAAUCCAAGGGCCGAAAACUUANAUAUAUAUAUAUAUAUAUAUAUAUAUAUAUAUAGAAUUGGUGCUUGUAAGUUUUUUACUGUUAGAUCUAUUCCUCGGAUCAUUUUCAACCAUUAGAUUAUACUAUUUAACCAACCACCCACUCAACCCUAGGGGGCCCACAUCAUUCUAACCGUAUAUCUUUUAAUUCAAUAGCUAAAAAUCUACAAGCACCAAUAACUUGGUACUUUUAAAAGUAUAGGGGUUCAAUUCUCUCUCUCUCUCUCUCUCUCUCUCUCUCUAUAUAUAUAUA